GGGGAAUAUUGGACAAUGGGGGAAACCCUGAUCCAGCCAUGCCGCGUGAAUGAUGAAGGCCUUCGGGUUGUAAAGUUCUUUUGGCGGGGACGAUGAUGACGGUACCCGCAGAAUAAGCUCCGGCUAACUUCGUGCCAGCAGCCGCGGUGAUACGAAGGGAGCUAGCGUUGUUCGGAAUUACUGGGCGUAAAGGGUGCGUAGGCGGUAAGAUAAGUCAGGUGUGAAAGCCCUGGGCUCAACCCGGGAAUUGCGCUUGAUACUGUCUUGCUUGAAUUCGGGAGAGGUGAGUGGAAUUCCCAGUGUAGAGGUGAAAUUCGUAGAGAUUGGGAAGAACACCUGUGGCGAAGGCGGCUCACUGGACCGACAUUGACGCUGAGGCACGAAAGCGUGGGGAGCAAAC
RNAcentral lists this ribosomal RNA (400 nucleotides) under uncultured bacterium. RNAcentral describes it as "bacterial SSU rRNA". It matches the Rfam family "Bacterial small subunit ribosomal RNA", at positions 356 to 773 of the family's 1533-position model. The record is from RNAcentral.